This 198-nucleotide unclassified non-coding RNA is filed under the name uncultured Paraphaeosphaeria. RNAcentral describes it as "sequence contains ITS1". The record is from RNAcentral. Lineage: Eukaryota; Fungi; Ascomycota; Dothideomycetes; Pleosporales; Didymosphaeriaceae.
UCCAUCUCAACCAGGUGCGGUCGCGGCCUCCGGGGGUUCUCUCCCGGGUGGUAGGGGUAACACCCUCACGCGCCGUAUUUCUGAAUCCUUUUUUUACGAGCACCUUUCGUUCUCCUUCGGCGGGGCAACCUGCCGUUGGAACUAUACAAAACCUUUUUUUGCAUCUAGCAUUACCUGUUCUGAUACAAACAAUCGUUA